AUACGUAGGGAGCAAGCGUUGUCCGGAAUUACUGGGCGUAAAGGGCGUGUAGGCGGCCGAUCAAGUCAGGUGUGAAAUUUCAGGGCUCAACCCUGAGCGUGCACUUGAAACUGGUUGGCUUGAGUGCAGAAGAGGAAAGUGGAAUUCCCAGUGUAGCGGUGGAAUGCGUAGAUAUUGGGAGGAACACCAGUGGCGAAGGCGACUUUCUGGUCUGUAACUGACGCUGAGGCGCGAAAGCUAGGGGAGCGAACAGGAUUAGAUACCCUGGUAGUCCACGCUGUAAACGAUGAAUACUAGGUGUGGGGGGACUGACCCCCUCCGUGCCGCAGUUAACACAAUAAGUAUUCCACCUGGGGAGUACGAUCGCAAGAUUGAAACUCAAAGGAAUUGACGGGG
RNAcentral lists this ribosomal RNA (396 nucleotides) under uncultured bacterium. Its description in RNAcentral is "partial 16S ribosomal RNA". It matches the Rfam family "Bacterial small subunit ribosomal RNA", at positions 523 to 918 of the family's 1533-position model. The record is from RNAcentral.